GGAAUGUAGCUCAGCGGCAGAGCCCUUGCCUCACAUGCUUGAGGGCUUGGGUUCGUUCAUUCCCAGUACCA
This 71-nucleotide transfer RNA is filed under the name Marmota monax (woodchuck). Its description in RNAcentral is "tRNA.Val". Lineage: Eukaryota; Metazoa; Chordata; Mammalia; Rodentia; Sciuridae. The record is from RNAcentral.